This 1241-nucleotide long non-coding RNA is filed under the name Chrysolophus pictus (golden pheasant). RNAcentral's name for it is "lncRNA (ENSCPIG00010014396.1)". Lineage: Eukaryota; Metazoa; Chordata; Aves; Galliformes; Phasianidae. The record is from RNAcentral.
GUGAGCUCCGCCCCCCGCCCCUCCGGGCGGCCCUUCCCGAUCUUCCCCCCCCGUUCCUCGCCCCUUCGCUCUCUCCAGGCUGCCCGCGCCCUGCUUGAAGGCGCGUUUCGCUCCGUACGGAUGUAAAUCCGUUGUUGCUCCUGAUCCCCAUCCGUGCCGCAGACCCGUACGGUUUCUUUUUUCUGCCACGUGUGAAACCGGCUCACGUGAAGGCAGGGCGGCUCUGCUCCCCGACGGCCGGCUUGCGGUCUUGGUCCCGCAGUCGGGCAGGACUUCCCCCGUCUAUACAUAAUGCAUGACCUGGGCUCUUUGCAAUGAAGCCCCGCUAAUUGGCUAAUUAAAAAGUGAAACGCGCUGAAGGAGCCACCGCGGCAUCCACAGGAGCCCCUCACUGCGGCAUCCUGGCUGUGUGUGCCAGUGCCUUCAGCUCAGUGGAGCCGGGGGCACGCAGCCCUGGGGCAGCCCCAGGGAGGCUGGUGCUGGAAGCUGCCUUCCUGCCUUUUGAAUCUGUUUUUCUUGCACCUGAAGCUUUUGUGACCCAGGAUGACGUAGUGGAACCCCAGGAGUUUCCUGGUGUAACGUUCUCCAUUUUCUCUCCCAGCCACAAAGGGACGCGGGCUGUAACGCUGUGUUCUGCCCUCAGAUCGUGGACACCUUCCUGGUGGGCCGCCUGGUGCUGCUGGCCGUCAUGGCCCUGCUGCUGCUGGGCUGCGUGCUGCUGCUGGGGAUGCACCUCCUGGAGCCGACACACGCCAAGGCGCUGCGCUGCUGGAGGUGAGGCUGUGCCACGGAGCCGCUUCUGCAGGGAUUCCGGCGGCUGUGGGACUGAGCGGCCUCGUGGAGCCCCUUCUCCUGUCGGCGGAAAUGAGACGAGCGGGAGAUGGAGCGCUGGCUGUUGGUUGGCUCGGUGAUCCGAGGGGCCUCUUCCAGCCGAUCCUGUUAUCCCUCUGAGCCCACCUGUCUCAGGCUCAGCCUGAGGCCUCUCAUGGAGGGAAAGUCCUCGAGAAGUGGAUCCCGUUUUCGUGGCAGUAAACCGGAUGCCCGAGUUGGGGUGUUGAUUGUUGGAUUUUUUAAAUUCUUUUUUAACAUUAAUAAAACUUUUGGAGGAAGCCCUGGCCCAGUCUUUAUCUGUUUUCCAGGAAUAGGAGUUUUGCACAUUUUGGUGUUACUGAAAGCUGCCCUUUCUGUGCUUUUUGGGAGGCUCCCCCUUUUCAGGUGGGGGCCUUGGGAUGCUCCCUGUG